UACGUAGGGGGCAAGCGUUGUCCGGAAUCACUGGGCGGAAAGGGUGCGUAGGCGGGUCUUUAAGUCAGGGGUGAAAUCCUGGAGCUCAACUCCAGAACUGCCUUUGAUACUGAGGAUCUUGAGUUCGGGAGAGGUGAGUGGAACUGCGAGUGUAGAGGUGAAAUUCGUAGAUAUUCGCAAGAACACCAGUGGCGAAGGCGGCUCACUGGCCCGAUACUGACGCUGAGGCACGAAAGCGUGGGGAGCAAACAGG
This 253-nucleotide ribosomal RNA is filed under the name uncultured bacterium. Its description in RNAcentral is "partial 16S ribosomal RNA". It matches the Rfam family "Bacterial small subunit ribosomal RNA", at positions 524 to 776 of the family's 1533-position model. The record is from RNAcentral.